RNAcentral lists this long non-coding RNA (838 nucleotides) under Rhinopithecus bieti (black snub-nosed monkey). RNAcentral's name for it is "lncRNA (ENSRBIG00000046751.1)". The record is from RNAcentral. Lineage: Eukaryota; Metazoa; Chordata; Mammalia; Primates; Cercopithecidae.
AUGGAAUUGGCCAAAAAUUGUGAUAAUAAGAAUGAACAGCUGCAGUGUGAUCAUUGUGACACCUUGAAUGAUAAAUACUUUUGCUUUGAAGGCUCUUGCCAGAAGGUUGACAUGGUAUAUUCAAGUCAUAGCUUUUGUAGGGAAGAUUUUACUGACAGUCAAACUGCCAAGACCUUUUUGAGCCAUUUUGAGGACUUCCCUGAUAAUUGUGAAAAUGUAGAAGAAGAUGCUUUUAAAAGCAAAAAGGAGCGGUCCACUUUGUUAGUCAGGAGAUUCUGUAAAAAUGACAGAGAAGUUAAGAAAUCUGUGUAUACCGGAACAAGAGCAAUUGUGAGGACUCUGCCUUCUGGCCACAUUGGGCUAAUUGCAUGGAGUUACAUAGAUCAGAAGAGAAAUGGUCCCUUACUGUCUUGUGGGAGAGUAAUGGAACCCCUGUCAACAGUGGAGAUAAAGCAAGGUGGGAGCCAACGUCUGUCAGAAGCCCAGUGGUAUCCUAUCUACAAUGCAGUGAGAAGAGGAGAAGAAACAGAAAAUACAGUUGGAUCUCUACUCCAUUUCUUCACCAGGCUCCCAGCCUCCGAGACAGCCCAUGGAAGAAUAAGUGUUGGUCCAUGCUUAAAGCAAUGUGUCCAAGACACUGUAUAUGAGUAUCGCGCCACCCUCCAAAGGACUUCAAUAUCGCAGUACAUCACCGGUUCUCUCCUAGAAGCAACCACGUCUUUGGGAGCAAGAAGUGGCCUUCUCAGUACUUUUGGAGGAUCCACUGGACGAAUGAUGCUGAAAGGUAAUGCCUGAAAUUUCACUUUUAACUUUUUAUCUUUGACUAGAAAGAAGGAUC